Molecule: ribosomal RNA, 497 nt
Filed under: uncultured bacterium
Lineage: Bacteria
Description: partial 16S ribosomal RNA
Rfam family: Bacterial small subunit ribosomal RNA
Source: RNAcentral
GAUGAACGCUGGCGGCGUGCCUAAUACAUGCAAGUCGAGCGAACAGACGAGGCGCUUGCUCCUCUGACGUUAGCGGCGGACGGGUGAGUAACACGUGGAUAACCUACCUAUAAGACUGGGAUAACUUCGGGAAACCGGAGCUAAUACCGGAUAAUAUAUUGAACCGCAUGGUUCACUAGUGAAAGACGGUUUUGCUGUCACUUAUAGAUGGCUCCGCGCCGCAUUAGCUAGUUGGUAAGGUAACGGCUUACCAAGGCAACGAUGCGUAGCCGACCUGAGAGGGUGAUCGGCCACACUGGAACUGAGACACGGUCCAGACUCCUACGGGAGGCAGCAGUAGGGAAUCUUCCGCAAUGGGCGAAAGCCUGACGGAGCAACGCCGCGUGAGUGAUGAAGGUCUUCGGAUCGUAAAACUCUGUUAUUAGGGAAGAACAAAUGUGUAAGUAACUAUGCACGUCUUGACGGUACCUAAUCAGAAAGCCACGGCUAACUACGUG